Non-coding RNA from Ameiurus melas (black bullhead), 72 nucleotides. The record is from the annotation of a GenBank genome assembly. Lineage: Eukaryota; Metazoa; Chordata; Actinopteri; Siluriformes; Ictaluridae.
GGCACAGUGGCUUAGUGGUUAGCAGCUUGCCUUGCACCUCUGGGGUUGGGGGUUCGAUUCCUGCCUCUGCCU